RNAcentral lists this unclassified non-coding RNA (420 nucleotides) under soil metagenome. Its description in RNAcentral is "partial contains 5.8S ribosomal RNA, internal transcribed spacer 2, and large subunit ribosomal RNA". The stretch from base 1 to 120 matches the Rfam family "5.8S ribosomal RNA", at positions 35 to 154 of the family's 154-position model. The record is from RNAcentral.
GAUGAAGAACGUAGCGAAAUGCGAUACGUAAUGUGAAUUGCAGAAUUCAGUGAAUCAUCGAAUCUUUGAACGCAUAUUGCGCUCUUUGGUAUUCCGAAGAGCAUGCUUGUUUGAGUAUCAGUAAACACCUCAACCUCUUCUUGAUUUUUCAAAAGGAGGGUGGACUUGAGCUAUCCCAACAACCUUUACCGGUCGGCGGGCGGCUUGAAAUGCAGGUGCAGCUGGACUUUUAUCUGAGCUAAAAGCAUAUCUAUUUAGUCCUCGUCAAACAGGAUUAUUACUUUUGCUGCAGCUAACAUAAAGGAUAAUUGUCCUCUUUGCUGACUGAUGCAGGAUUUUACGACACUUUAUGUGUUGUUCAACUCGAUCUCAAAUCAAGUAAGACUACCCGCUGAACUUAGCAUAUCAAUAAGCGGAGGA